Molecule: transfer RNA, 72 nt
Filed under: Camelus bactrianus (Bactrian camel)
Lineage: Eukaryota; Metazoa; Chordata; Mammalia; Artiodactyla; Camelidae
Also listed under: 2 other names
Rfam family: tRNA
About the family: Transfer RNA (tRNA) molecules are approximately 80 nucleotides in length. Their secondary structure includes four short double-helical elements and three loops (D, anti-codon, and T loops).
Source: Rfam by way of RNAcentral
GCGGGUAUAGCUCAGUGAUAGAGUGUAUGCUUAGCAUGCAUGAGGUCCUGGGUUCAAUCCCCAGUGCCUUCA